Molecule: ribosomal RNA, 347 nt
Filed under: Escherichia coli
Lineage: Bacteria; Pseudomonadati; Pseudomonadota; Gammaproteobacteria; Enterobacterales; Enterobacteriaceae
Description: partial 23S ribosomal RNA
Rfam family: Bacterial large subunit ribosomal RNA
Source: RNAcentral
GGUCAAGCUACAAAGGGCGCAUGGUGAAUGCCUUGGCAUCAGGAGCCGAUGAAGGACGUGAUAAGCUGCGAUAAGCUUCGGGUAGGCGCACAUAGCCUGAGAUCCGAAGAUCUCCGAAUGAGGAAACUCACAUGGGAAACCCCAUGUAUCAUUAAGUGAAUACAUAGCUUAAUGAAGGUAACCCAGGGAACUGAAACAUCUAAGUACCUGGAGGAAGAGAAAGAAAAAUCGAUUUUCUUAGUAGCGGCGAGCGAAAGGGAAAGAGCCCAAACCGGAAACUUGUUUCCGGGGUUGUGGACAUAGCAUCAAAGUGGAGGCUAUUGUAACUGAAGAGAACUGGAAAGUUC